GGCCUGAUCGCCAAGUGGUAAGGCAAGGGUCUGCAAAACCCUUAUCGGGAGUUCGAUUCUCCCUCAGGCCUCAA
Molecule: transfer RNA, 74 nt
Filed under: bacterium CG10_49_38
Lineage: Bacteria
Also listed under: 1 other name
Description: tRNA-Cys
Rfam family: tRNA
About the family: Transfer RNA (tRNA) molecules are approximately 80 nucleotides in length. Their secondary structure includes four short double-helical elements and three loops (D, anti-codon, and T loops).
Source: RNAcentral